AGCUAUAUAAUUGUUAUUUGUGUGUAUUUGUGUUUAUAUGUGAUCCAGUCCCGAACAGAAGCACGAUCACUGUUUAAUGAAGUACACUCGGCUUCAAUUGGUGCACACACAGGCACUGUUAAAACCAGAUCCUCAAUGUACUCCAGAAAUUAUUGGGAUGGCAUGACAGUGGACAUUGACUGAUGGGUAUCUGAAUGCGACGGAUGUCAGAGGACUGGUAACUCUUUGGCUGUGUGUGACACAGCCAUUCCAAAGCAUUAAGGUGUCUGCUGUUUGGGAGUUGGUUGGGAUAGACCUGACUGGGCCUCUCCCAAAAACCAAGGAUGGCUUUCAGUACAUUCUUACUGCCACCGAUUAUUUUUCCAAGUGGGUUGAGGCCUUUCCUUUAAAAACCAAAACAGCAUCAGAGGUGGCAUAAUGGAUCUGCUCAAUUGUUUAUAGACACAGAUGCCCCCAACGAAUCCUGUCUGACCAAGGAAGAGAAUUUGUCAAUUAGCUCAACGAUAACCUUUGUGCCCUCCUGUGCAUUGAAAGGAGUGUUACAGCUGCAUAUCAUCCUAAGACGAAUGGGCUGAUGAGAGGA
Long non-coding RNA from Corythoichthys intestinalis (scribbled pipefish), 583 nucleotides. RefSeq lists it as uncharacterized. The transcript is spliced from 4 exons. Lineage: Eukaryota; Metazoa; Chordata; Actinopteri; Syngnathiformes; Syngnathidae. The record is from RefSeq and is a predicted model, not a curated record.